Molecule: transfer RNA, 85 nt
Filed under: Felis catus (domestic cat)
Lineage: Eukaryota; Metazoa; Chordata; Mammalia; Carnivora; Felidae
Also listed under: 2 other names
Rfam family: tRNA
About the family: Transfer RNA (tRNA) molecules are approximately 80 nucleotides in length. Their secondary structure includes four short double-helical elements and three loops (D, anti-codon, and T loops).
Source: Rfam by way of RNAcentral
GCCUGGGUGGCUCAGUUGGUUAAGUGUCCGACUUUGGCUCAGAUCAUGAUCUCACAGUUUGUGGGUUUGAGCCCCAUAUCAGGCU